GAAAACAGCAGCGCGCCCCAGCGCUGCCCUCCCAGCUGUGUGUGAGCGAGACCGGGGCUAACAGCCCCCUACCUGCGUUCCCCAUGACCGGUGCUCACAACAGAGGUGCCCCAACUAGUACUGGUGCCCCCGUUUUCUCAGCAAGUCCCCUUGUCGGAGGCCACAGAGCUGGGGUGAACCUACUCUGGGAGAACCAACACCCCACACUAAGCCAGUGGCCCACACUGACCUGGCCAGGCCACUCCUCUGGAGAUCCUCCCUGUGAACCACCCACAGAGGGCCCUUUCCCAGAGAGACCACCAGUGGGCCUGGACCCACGCCCUUGGGGAUGAGCAAGCUCUCGUGUAUUUGCUGUGUGUGCAACACGGGGUUCCUCUCGGGGCACUGGGGAUCCCGAAAGCGUGUCUGGUGCAGAAGGCGUGACCUCCAGGCAGCUCCGAGACGGGAAGUGAUUGGAGUGUAGGCGUGAGGUCCCGGUGCUGGAUAGACGCACACGCCUUCACGCAUCCUCAGAAAGUGAUGUUGCUGAGUGAAUAGAAGGUGCACGUGGCCCUUCCUGAGUCUGCUCACCCUCCGGACACACACGCAUGCCUUCCCACGCUCCUGUGCACACACCCCUCCCGGCCCUUCCAUGGAGGACCUGUAGGAACCCGUGGCCUAGGGUGAGCUGGGUCUGAGGCUUUGGGACCCGUGCCUGGACCAGUAGCUUCCCAGAUGUGGCAUCUGAGCAAGAGGGGCAGAGCGAGGCUGGCAUGACAAAGAGUGAGCCACCCCAUGAAAUGGGCCCGGCAAGGUCACACGGCACCAGCUGGCCCAAGGCUGGUCAAGAAUCCGAGUUUUCUGCAGAGGGAGACACAGCCUGACACCUGGGACCUGUGCAGCUGGGUGGAGUAGAAAGGGAUGAAAGGAGGAGGGGCGGUCGGCCCAGGAAGCAGGGCGGGCAGACGGCGACCCAGGGGACCUGUCCGAGAGGUGACAUAGAGGACAGCAAUGCCGCCCGCAUGUCCCCACAUGGACCUGCUUCCAGGAAGGUGGAAAAGGCCCAUGGGAUGCAGAGCAGAGGAGACACAGCUGUGGCUUAGUCAAGAAGGAUGGUGUCCUGGUGCGGGGAGCUUUGGGGGGCGCCUUCUCACGGUGCCAACCCGCCAGCCCCGCCCUUUGCCAUCUCUGAAAGCGCUACCCAGAAAACCUCCUAGCCCAGCGCCAUUGAUCCCUUUUUAUGACUUGGAAAUAAAUUCGCAGCUACAAAACCCGAGGUCAUUUGGUUAAUUCCACUGCCGAGCUCCCCACGGCGCAUACCCCCGGAUGCUUCGGCCCAGCCAGGUUCCUUGCUAAGGGCAAGUUUUACGACCUUGGGAACAUUGGCAUUUGUUUAUGGCAGAGAAGUGAAGUUUUGCUUCCCCCAGAGGCCAGAGUGUUUCCACGGACGGUUUUAAAGGGGAAGCAGGCACAUUUGUGACUAAGUCACCAGGCAGGCGUGAUACAGGAGACAAUGCUCUUUGGAGCUGCCCACGUGGCGGCAGCAGCCAGAGGUCCCUUUGCCCAGUUCUCUGGCCUCUUCUUGCCCUGUGCACACCUGUCACCUGAGACACCCGUACUUGGCAUUCGCUCUUCAAACAGGCAUUCUGUGAAAGUAACGGUCCCUGCGUGCUGGGGACGCCGGCCUUGGCCACGUGCUGGCUGUGGUCUCCCGGGAGCUGAGGAAAGGAGUUCCGCCUCGCAGAAUGAGGCAGGAUUCUCCUCUUCCAUCCCCCUCUCUAGAGUCAGAAUUACCCCAAUAAUUGCGCUCAUCUGACUCCAAGGCCGUCUCCAGAGUUUCGAGUGUGAAAUAGAGUAGCUGUCUCUCACCAAGGCUGUCACAGUUCUCAGGAACCAGAGGAGAAGGCAGGAAGCCCCCGACCCCUGGAGCAAACCCCUGGGUCUUCAUAAAGCAGCUGCUGGCACAGCGGCUGAGAAACCCAGGCGUGGACCCUAGCCCGGCCGCCUGUCCGCGUGGCAUCCUGAAGAAAUCACUGCAUCUUCCUGUGCCUUGGUUUGCUCAUCUGCGAGAGUCCCGGCCUCCCUAGGCUGUUCCAGGGAUCAUGGGGGCCUCUGCAUGGGAAAGCCCAAGCCAGCACCUGCCCCGGCACCUCUGCAUCCACAUGGCAGCUCCGUCUACAGCCCGAGGGCCCCAUAACCAGCCAGAGUGGCCACGCUUGAAGCCUCACGGGGCUCCAGAUGGAGCCUCCCUGACAAGGGGACCUCUUCUUCCCGGGAUCUUGUUCCGACCUUUGCUUAAAGCAGUUUCCCCACUGGCUCGGUUCACGUGCGGGCAGCGAUUCUCUGGCCCUGCACUGUAGGGUGUUUAGUGUGCCCGAGGCCACCCCGAGUGAUGACGACGAUUGAAAAUGUCUCCAGAGGCCUGACUCGGUGACUCACGCCUGUAAUCCCAGCACUUUGGCAGGCCAAGGAGGGUGGAUCACGAGGUCAGGAGUUCGAGAUCAGCCUGACCAAUAUGGUGAGACGAUGUCUCUACUAAAAAUACAAAAAUUAGCUGGACGUGGUGGUGGGCACCUGUAAUCCCAGCUACUUGGGAGGCUGAGGCAGAAGAAUCGCUUGAACCCAGGAGGCAGAAGUUGCAGUGAGCUGAGGUCACGUGACUGCACUCCAACCUGGUGACAGAGCAAGACUCCGUCUC
This 2677-nucleotide long non-coding RNA is filed under the name Homo sapiens (human). RNAcentral describes it as "HSALNT0000705". Lineage: Eukaryota; Metazoa; Chordata; Mammalia; Primates; Hominidae. The record is from RNAcentral.